Molecule: ribosomal RNA, 253 nt
Filed under: uncultured bacterium
Lineage: Bacteria
Description: partial 16S ribosomal RNA
Rfam family: Bacterial small subunit ribosomal RNA
Source: RNAcentral
UACGAAGGGGACUAGCGUUGUUCGGAAUUACUGGGCGUAAAGCGCACGUAGGCGGCUUUCUAAGUCAGGGGUGAAAUCCUGGAGCUCAACUCCAGAACUGCCUUUGAUACUGGAGAGCUUGAGUCCGGGAGAGGUGAGUGGAACUGCGAGUGUAGAGGUGAAAUUCGUAGAUAUUCGCAAGAACACCAGUGGCGAAGGCGGCUCACUGGCCCGAUACUGACGCUGAGGCACGAAAGCGUGGGGAGCAAACAGG